Molecule: small RNA, 132 nt
Filed under: Haliea sp. E1-2-M8
Lineage: Bacteria; Pseudomonadati; Pseudomonadota; Gammaproteobacteria; Cellvibrionales; Halieaceae
Description: RtT sRNA
Rfam family: RtT RNA
About the family: This family represents a bacterial cis-regulatory element known as RtT RNA. The exact function of RtT is unknown although it is thought that it may be involved in changing the cellular response in relation to amino acid starvation.
Source: RNAcentral
AUCAGGGGUUGAACGGGGUGGAUUGGAACCACUCGGUUCGACAGGGUGGCGUAGCCACCCUGAGCGCCGCCAAAGGCGGCGACCCCGGAGGGUGAGGGCCGUAAGGCCCGAAUAAUCCACCCCCUCCACCAA